CGCGUAGGCGGCGAUCCAAGUCAGGGGUGAAAUCCCGGGGCUCAACCCCGGAACUGCCCUUGAAACUAGAUUGCUAGAAUACUGGAGAGGUGAGUGGAAUUCCGAGUGUAGAGGUGAAAUUCGUAGAUAUUCGGAAGAACACCAGUGGCGAAGGCGACUCACUGGACAGUUAUUGACGCUGAGGUGCGAAAGCGUGGGGAGCAAACA
Molecule: ribosomal RNA, 207 nt
Filed under: uncultured bacterium
Lineage: Bacteria
Description: partial 16S ribosomal RNA
Rfam family: Bacterial small subunit ribosomal RNA
Source: RNAcentral